UAAAUCACAUGCUAAAAUACAAUAAAAGUGUAAAAUACACAGUAAAAUGUCCUUUUAGUUGUUUUUUAGUCGGUAUCAUAAAAGACUAUUGAAGUUGUCAUGAUAAUACAAAAUAACUAGUAACAUAUCAACGACAAAUAAAACGUUACGCUGAAAAUUCACAUUCAACUUGUAGUGUAAAUCAACUUGGAGUCAUCACGUGUUUUGGCCGUUAUCAAAGUGCAUUAUGGGGAUUUCGCGGGAGUCGUUACUUUACUUUCGUCCUGCACCCUUUCGCACGAGGCUGUGGUGUCAUCGUCGACUCGGACUGUUUUCAAGGUUGCUGGUUCCAAAAUAAUCUGGAAGUUUGUAUGCAGAGUUCCAGAGGAUAACCAAUCAGAACCUGCCCAACCGAUUCUAUGCUGAGCUUGACCGCCAUCUUCCACGACUAAUGACUUUAUUUAGGCAGAAGGCAUCAAGAACUGGAAAGACAGCAGAUGCUCUGGCUGAAAUUUUAAAAAUCCACGAUGAACAGGAAAACCAGGACAUACACACCAAACGUACGACUGUUCUCCACGGCCUUCCUGUCUAUCUGCGAGGAUGUAUCUGGAUUCUUCAGAACCUGCACAGACGAGUCUGAUGAGCCAGAGCUUGAUGGGGUUGCAGUGGGCCUCCUUACUGUCACCAGUGACAAUAACACAAGUGCAGUUCACUACCACCCUGUGAAAAUCUCUGAUUAUUGAAAGUGAUGUCAUGGUUAGUCUCCCCAGACUUGGCGAUGCCUUCCUGGUAGUCUUUGGAUUCAUGUAUGCACUACACCUCAGCUACCCCAAAGCACUUACCAAGACUUUUGAGUUCAUUCAAAAGAUCUUACUUGGCCUAGAAAGUGGCAAACUGUCACCGAAGUUGCAGACCCUCAAGAACGUUUUGAUGACCUAGAAACGGAAGGCUGCAGCGGUAUACCAUUAUAAAAGGUUCAACAUGUUCAAGUUAAAAGGUCUAUGAUCACGUCUUGCAGCUUUGCAAUGCAGCGCCAUCAUGUGAUCUGUUCAUGUAUGUUAUUGUGUUGUGUAUUAUGGAGGAAAAAAAGGCAGAGGUCAUGGUUCUCGGGUAGUUAUCUUUGUGCAGAUACAUUUUUUAAAAAUUCUUUUAUGCCUCAUGUACGUGUUUCCUGUUAAUGUCAAUUUAUCAACAAUAGCGGUAAAGAUCAUCAUUAUCUUUUAAACGUAAAGAUACAAUUUAUUUUAGAAGUUUAACUUUGGUUGCAAAGUUGAAAUGUUUUAUUUGUUGUGCCCAUAUUCAUUCAAAUAAUUAAAAUGAUCAGCCACUAUAAAGAUGGAAGUUUUUCUUUUUUUCCUGAAAAUGUUCUGAAACAGUUCUGUUGUAUUUAAUCCAAAAUGCCGCACUAUAUACUCAGGAAGCCAAGAGCAGUG
This is a long non-coding RNA of Pseudoliparis swirei, 1412 nucleotides long. RefSeq lists it as uncharacterized. The transcript is spliced from 5 exons. The record is from RefSeq and is a predicted model, not a curated record. NCBI's taxonomy places the organism in Eukaryota, Metazoa, Chordata, Actinopteri, Perciformes, Liparidae.